This 411-nucleotide ribosomal RNA is filed under the name uncultured bacterium. Its description in RNAcentral is "bacterial SSU rRNA". It matches the Rfam family "Bacterial small subunit ribosomal RNA", at positions 505 to 916 of the family's 1533-position model. The record is from RNAcentral.
GUGCCAGCAGCCGCGGUAAUACGUAGGUGGCAAGCGUUGUCCGGAUUUACUUGGCGUAAAGAGCGCGCAGGCGGUCUUUUAAGUCGAAUGUGAAAGCCCCCGGCUCAACUGGGGAGGGUCAUUCGAUACUGAUCGACUUGAAGGCAGGAGAGGGUAGUGGAAUUCCCGGUGUAGUGGUGAAAUGCGUAGAUAUCGGGAGGAACACCAGUGGCGAAGGCGGCUCACUGGCUCGUUUCUGACGCUCAGGCGCGACAGCGUGGGGAUCAAACAGGAUUAGAUACCCUGGUAGUCCACGCCGUAAACGAUGAACGCUAGCCGUUGGGUAGCUUGCUAUUCAGUGGCGCAGCUAACGCAUUAAGCGUUCCGCCUGGGGAGUACGGCCGCAAGGUUGAAACUCAAGGGAAUUGACGG